GAGGUCCCCGGUUCAGUUCCUACGGAGCAGCAGUAGGAUUCUUCGCCAAUGACGAAGGUCUGACCGAGCACGCGCGUGAGGUGGAUGAGUUUUCGGAUCGUAAACUCUGUUGUCAGGGAAGAACAGUACCGGAGUACUGCCGGUACUUUGACCGGUACCUGACCAGAAAGCACGGCUACUACGUGCCAGCAGCCGCGGUAUACGUAGGGUGGCAAGCGUUGUCCGGAAUUAUUUGGGCGUAAAGCGCGCGCAGGGCGGUUCCUUUAAGUCUGAUGUGAAAGCCCCCGGCUCAACCCGGGGAGGGGUCAUUGGAAACUGGGGAACUUGAGUGCAGAAGAGAAGAGUGGAAUUUCCACGUGUAGCGGUGAAAUGCGUAGAGAUGUGGAGGAACACCAGUGGCGAAGGCGACUCUUUGGUCUGUAACUGACGCUGAGGCGCGAAAGCGUGGGGAAGCAAACAGGAAUUAGAUACCCUGGUAGUCCACGCCGUAAACGAUGAAGUGCUAAGUGUUAGAGGGUUUCCGCCCUUUAGUGCUGCAGCAAACGCAUUAAGCACUCCGCCUGGGAAGUACGGCCGCAAGGCUGAAACUCAAAGGAAUUGACGGGGGCCCGCACAAGAGGAAAAGCAUGUGGUUUAAUUCGAAGCAACGCGAAGAACCUUACCAGGUCUUGACAUCUCCUGACAACCCUAGAGAUAGGGCGUUCCCCUUCGGGGGACAGGAUGACAGGUGGUGCAUGGUUGUCGUCAGCUCGUGUCGUGAGAUGUUGGGUUAAGUCCCGCAACGAGCGCAACCCUUGAUCUUAGUUGCCAGCAUUCAGUUGGGCACUCUAAGGUGACUGCCGGUGACAAACCGGAGGAAGGUGGGGAUGACGUCAAAUCAUCAUGCCCCUUAUGACCUGGGCUACACACGUGCUACAAUGGAUGGUACAAAGGGCUGCAAGACCGCGAGGUUAAGCGAAUCCCAUAAAACCAUUCUCAGUUCGGAUUGCAGGCUGCAACUCGCCUGCAUGAAGCCGGAAUCGCUAGUAAUCGCGGAUCAGCAUGCCGCGGUGAAUACGUUCCCGGGCCUUGUACCCACCGCCCUCACACCACGAGAGUUUGUAACACCCGAAGUCGGUGGGGUAACCUUUGGAGCCAGCCGCCUAAGGGGACCGGGGGUC
RNAcentral lists this ribosomal RNA (1160 nucleotides) under Bacillus sp. (in: firmicutes). RNAcentral's name for it is "bacterial SSU rRNA". It matches the Rfam family "Bacterial small subunit ribosomal RNA", at positions 321 to 1476 of the family's 1533-position model. Lineage: Bacteria; Bacillati; Bacillota; Bacilli; Caryophanales; Bacillaceae. The record is from RNAcentral.